GGAGGUUAACUAGGUGGAUGGAGUAAAAGUUCUUACAAGAACGCUACCUUGUAAUUUAUAAGAUUUAAUCUUAUUACUUGUUUGCCUUGGGUGAACGUGCUUAACUACCCUGGCAACAAGAGUUUUUGAAUCAAGCAAAUUACCUUCCCUAGUUUUUCCAUAGAUGAGUACUCGUUUACAAUUGCGGGAUUCAGUUCAGUACACGCCAGUUCAUUUGGAAGUUAACAUCACCUGCCAGUCUUUUUUUCCCUCUACAAGACUAUGUAAUACGACAAGUAUACAAAGACAGAAAACGCAAAGAAAAUGGUGAAACCAUUCGUAAAAGGAUUAGCUUUCAGCCAGUUUCCUCUUACAAUAGGCUGAUUGAAUCCUUUGCAACCAAAGCCAAAGGACAUAAUCAACUGGAGGUGAAGCAGUUUAAAAUUCUGAUAUAAACGAGCGUCCAAGAUGACAAGUUGUCUUAUACUGCGAACGUGAAAUUCUCGACUGUCGCAUAUUUGUUAACCAUUAAAACAUCGUGUCUCAAUUAAUUCAGAAAUUCACGAUAGACAACAAUAAUCUUCAAUAAUAACUUGUUUGAUUCAGGUAAUAUCAGGUGUGGGGAUCGAACCCACGUCUCUAUGUAGAGACCAGAACUUAAGUCUGGCGCCUUAACCACUCGGCCAACCUGAUUGUGAUAAUAGGGCUACACGGACGCUGCUAAAGUUUAACCCAAAUUGGGAUUCCGUUAGUCUAUGAACGCAUGCAAACUAUGGAAUAUGGAAAUGGUGUUGAAGACGUUUACAGCUAUUCAUAACGAAUGUUGACUGCGUGACGUCUGGCCGUGAAGCGUGUGGGCUGCUAGGCUGGUCACAAGACUUAUUUCGUCACACAAUCAACCACCAUAACUUCAUAGAAGCAUUGUCAUCCAUGCCAUUCAGUUCGGUGUGCUGUUUGAGCCUACGAAGAAAUUGCUGCAAAAUUUGAACGCUACGAUCAUCUUUUGGUAUUCAUUUCAUAGAACUUAUUGUGGUAACGAAAUACUUAAAAUGUCCUUUUUCCCCAUAUUUUUUCCAAAACAUCGUCUUGCACUUAUAGAAUGUGAUGGAUAAUUUAGACGGGGACAACAAAAAACAACUAUACUUUCAAGGGAAAGCCAAUUUCACUUGUACGCCAUGAGUUGUGGCAUUUUUAAUUUAGGGGAUGAGUUGCACGAGUUACGUGAAUGAACUUGAAAGUUUCGCACAGUUUGCCAGGGAAAUCAUUCAUAUUUCAAACUUCAUUGUUAUCCUCUCUGUUGGCUAGCCCUCAAGAGACAUGCACGCGUCGUUCAUUGGGGCAGGAUCAAUUCACGUUGGCAACCAGUAGACCGUCUGUUUUAUUUUGUCUCUAAAUAAUUGCUUCCUCGAAUGCAAGUUUUGUUAUAACCGCUGUCCUGCUUGUCUUUGGUGGUAGAUUCUGGCAUGAAUAGAUGGAACGAGACGCAGGGGAGAACAAUUAGUUCAGAAAAAUGCGAACGUUUGAAGGGAAACUAACUUACUUUCUUCAUCCUUAGGAUACCGAAGUGAAAUCCUCCAAGCAGAAUCAAGUUAACAGACUUGCACGUUACAAUGGCACCGUAUACGUUAUCUUUUGAUGUGGGCAAAGGUUAACGUGUCAGCAGCCAAGUAGAAGUUUUGCACACAACAGCGUGUAUUCUCAGAAUCUAACUUACGAAUAAGUGGGAGUGAAACUAGAUUAGGUUUUAAUGAAAAUGUAACAUUUUCGAAGAAGGGGGGAAGUCAAACUUCUAUUU
RNAcentral lists this transfer RNA (1774 nucleotides) under Daphnia magna. RNAcentral describes it as "uncharacterized LOC116934016, transcript variant X2". Lineage: Eukaryota; Metazoa; Arthropoda; Branchiopoda; Diplostraca; Daphniidae. The record is from RNAcentral.